Molecule: non-coding RNA, 73 nt
Organism: Potamilus streckersoni
Lineage: Eukaryota; Metazoa; Mollusca; Bivalvia; Unionida; Unionidae
Source: the annotation of a GenBank genome assembly
UCCAUAAAGCCUAGUGUUUAGAACGUCCGCCUUGGACGCGGGAGGUCGUGGGUUCGAGUCCCGGCUGUGUCAU